ACAGUCUUGGCAUCGAACUUGAGGUGAUGGGUCAUCUCGCAGAGAGCUCUUCACGUCUUGACUAUAUUGUUUGGGUUUUCACUGGUUUUACUAAUCACCACAAAGAAUGUACGCCCUUGCAUGGUGACAGGACGACUCAACCCAGACGACAACUCGACCCACUGGACAACUCAACCCAGCAGAAAAUUCGAUUUAUGGAACAAAACUACAUCUUGUUGAGCAACAUCAGACGCCUUUUCGACAAUACAACCAUCGCACUACAGUCCCAACACCCACCCUCCCUACAUUGGAGAGCAAAUCUUCAUCACAUUAAAAGCUUGUAAUCGCCUUUUCCUGAAAAUGCGGCAGCCAUAUGAUGUCCAAAGAUCAUGGGUCGGUCUCCAUUUUGGCAAAGGUCACGGCAUUACAUCGUGUACCCUUCAUGAGCGACGAACCAGCGGACCGCCGGGAAAGAGAGAAGCUAGUAAGAACAAUUUACCAGGAACGGCAUCUGAAUCACCAAUUUCGGUCAGCCCUGUUGCUCGAUCCCAACAUACGAACUCUCGGGCCAAACCCUUGCUAAAUACCCCAAGCCUCGGCCGAGAACUUCGGCUAAACUGGCUUAUGGCGCUCUCCAAGUGCCAUUUCAGCCUCAAAUCCCCUAAAAAUGCGCCAAUCCCCACGUACUGACUCGCUCAAGUUGGCUGGUUUGCAAAUCGACACACCGGCAGGUCUGAGAAACGCUGUGAAUGGGCUCAAAGCUCCUAAAGACGAGAAGAGAGAGGAACGAACUCGCCGGAAAACAUUGGGAAAAAAUCUAUGAGUACGACGACCACAUUUUCUUGGGCAGCCAGCAGCACUGGCCAUGAGCGGAGAGUGACUGACCAGCGAUCAAGGCUGCUCGUCUGUGGCCCCGGCCCCUGUUCUCCUUGCGCCGUCGCCAUCAGUUGAAGGGAUCGACCCAGUGACCGAUCGAGUAUACGCCGAUCCCAAGAACUGAAAU
Long non-coding RNA from Tigriopus californicus, 982 nucleotides. RefSeq lists it as uncharacterized. The record is from RefSeq and is a predicted model, not a curated record. Lineage: Eukaryota; Metazoa; Arthropoda; Copepoda; Harpacticoida; Harpacticidae. The transcript has 3 exons.